GUUAGAGUACGUAAUGGGCCUGGGCUGACGGUAUAGCCCGUUAGUCUUAGGGUUAAUUAGAGAUAAGGGUCGCUUGCUUAGGGGUCAAGUAAGCCUUGCUUGGGAGUCAAGUAAACCUCUCAGAUGUAUCAAUCUAAUCAAGCAAGAAUUAAAAAGGAAAUCCCUUCCCUCUUGCCUGGCCGUGGGCAAAAGGCCCCCGGCCGGCCCUCUUGUGCCCUCCUUCUAGCAGCGUCAUAACAAUUUGGUAUCAGCUAGCUUCGGUUCGAUCAUGUCUUCACCGCCGCCAAGCCCGUCUCUUCCGCUGCCGGUCACCUCGUCGCCUCCGGCGACCACCACGACCGUCGCCCCGCUCCUGCCCGCGCCGGGAUCCUCCGUCGUGCCCGCCCCCGCCGUCCUCACCCCGGAGGAGGUGUUCGGGGUGCUGCGGGGCCUAACCCAGGCGGUCCAGGAGAUCCACAUGUUCUUGGCCGGGUCCUACGGGCUGCCCCCGGCUGCGCCGCCCAUCGCCGCCCCCGCGCUGCCGUGGCAGCCGCCGCACCAGGCGGCCUUCGCCGGGCCACUGCAGCUGCCAUCCAUCGCCACCACCGCCCAGCCCUGGCUGCAGUGGCAGCCGCCGCUCCUAGCGGCCUCCGCCGCGCCCGGCGCUCUGCCGCAGCAGCCGGUGCAGCUGCCCGGCGCGACACCGCAGCAGCCACUGCCGGUCAGCUCCGCCGCCCAGUAUGGGAUGCCCUACGACGGGACUGCGACGACCUUGUUCCCAUCAGCGCCGCCGCCAUCCCAGGGCGUCCACAUCCAUCAGAUCAAGUCCCCGCCGGCGCAGUCACCGCUUCCGUCUUGGAUCGCUACCCGCCACGUGUCGGCGGCGGUGAGGCUGCAGGCUGCUGCGCGCGGCCUCCUAGCGCGUCGGCGUGUGCGGGAGAUGCGUGGUCUGCAGUUGCCGCUCCUCCAAGUUGCCCUUCGCUGCGACCUCGAUCUCGUCCGCUGCGUCGGGGAUCAUGGGCAUGCGGUUUCCCCCACGGGCGGCGGGCAUGCUGUUUUCCCCGUGGGCAGCGACCUCAAAGUCUGCGAUAUCGGCGGUUGGGGGGGCGCACCCCUCCUCGACAUUCUCCAUCGCAAGCCCUCCACUCUUCCCUAUGUAGUGCAGACCAACAGCCAUACACAUGCACUCCUUUUGUCCACGUGGUGUCCAUGGGAUCCAGGUGGCUGUACAUGUGCACGUCCAAAAUAAAGCGUCCCAGUCUAUUUCAGUUUGAGAGUAAUAACACAAGCCGAGAUGUAAAAGGCUUGUUUUUAGGUGUUAGGUUUGUGUUGCGUCGAGUCAUGGUUAUAAGUUGGUUAGGCUGCAGCUCGAGGACAAGCUGCAUGUCUAGGUGGGGUGUAGUGUUAGAGUACGUAAUGGGCCUGGGCUGACGGUAUAGCCCGUUAGUCUUAGGGUUAAUUAGAGAUAAGGGUCGCUUGCUUAGGGGUCAAGUAAGCCUUGCUUGGGAGUCAAGUAAUAAACCUCUCUAUAUAAGGAGAGGAGAUGUAUCAAUCUAAUCAAGCAAGAAUUAAGAAGGAAAUCCCUUCCCUCUUGCCUGGCCGUGGGCAAAAGGCCCCCGGCCGGCCCUCUCGCGCCCUCCUUCUAGCAGCGUCAUAACACUCCCCCACUCCAACCCAAUCUCCCUCAGUCAUCUAGAACCCAUGAGACCCCUCCAAUUCGAAAAGAAAAAAAAAUAGCUUGCAAUGGUGCUCUCGUCGCUGCCGCAGUUAUGCAAGUGCAGUGUUGGCUGCUUGAUUGAGUUUUGAGUUUCUUCUCUGCAGUGUUGCACGUGCAUUGGUUGUUAUAUACUACUAAUCCAAUACAACUGACUCAUUUUUGUGGUUCCGUAGCAAUGCACCGACGUUAUGCUAUGCCAAUAAACGAUGGAGACUAGGGCCAUGACAUGAAAACAUGGGAUUACCCAUGAUGGGCCUAGAUCUCCCUGCAUAAGGCUAUCCCCUAAACCAAACAGCCUUGUAGCGCAUUGUGGUCUGGCUCCCUGUUACCGUACCAACAUAAGCCUGAGAUCUAAGGU
This 2054-nucleotide long non-coding RNA is filed under the name Triticum aestivum (bread wheat). Its description in RNAcentral is "long non-coding RNA (TAES_LNC003466)". Lineage: Eukaryota; Viridiplantae; Streptophyta; Magnoliopsida; Poales; Poaceae. The record is from RNAcentral.